AUUGAACGCUGGCGGCAGGCCUAACACAUGCAAGUCGAGCGAGCGGCGGACGGGUGAGUAAUGUAUGGGGAUCUGCCCGAUAGAGGGGGAUAACUACUGGAAACGGUGGCUAAUACCGCAUACUAUCGGAUGAACCCAUAUGGGAUUAGCUAGUAGGUGGGGUAAGGGCUCACCUAGGCGACGAUCUCUAGCUGGUCUGAGAGGAUGACCAGCGACACUAGAACUAAGACACGGCCCAGACUCCUACGGGAUGCAGCAGUGGGGAAUAUUGCACAAUGGGGGCAAGCCGGAUGCAGCCAUGCCGCGUGUAUGAAGAAGGCCGUAGGGUUGUAAAGUACUUUCAGCGAGGAGGCGUUACCCGCAGAAGAAGCACCGGCUAACUCCGUGCCAGCAGCCGCGGUAAUAC
RNAcentral lists this ribosomal RNA (406 nucleotides) under uncultured bacterium. RNAcentral's name for it is "partial 16S ribosomal RNA". It matches the Rfam family "Bacterial small subunit ribosomal RNA", at positions 30 to 526 of the family's 1533-position model. The record is from RNAcentral.